CGUGCAGGUGGUUUGGUAAGUUGGAUGUGAAAUCUCCCGGCUCAACUGGGAGAGGUCGUUCAAAACUGCCAGGCUAGAGGACGGUAGAGGAAAGCGGAAUUCCCGGUGUAGUGGUGAAAUGCGUAGAUAUCGGGAGGAACACCAGUGGCGAAAGCGACUUUCUGGCCCGUUCCUGACACUAAGACGCGAAAGCUAGGGUAGCAAACG
Molecule: ribosomal RNA, 207 nt
Filed under: uncultured bacterium
Lineage: Bacteria
Description: partial 16S ribosomal RNA
Rfam family: Bacterial small subunit ribosomal RNA
Source: RNAcentral